AUCCAGCUGACGAGUCCCAAAUAGGACGAAACGGGCUUCUUGGAU
Non-coding RNA from Schistosoma haematobium, 45 nucleotides. NCBI's taxonomy places the organism in Eukaryota, Metazoa, Platyhelminthes, Trematoda, Strigeidida, Schistosomatidae. The record is from Rfam.